This 253-nucleotide ribosomal RNA is filed under the name uncultured bacterium. RNAcentral's name for it is "partial 16S ribosomal RNA". It matches the Rfam family "Bacterial small subunit ribosomal RNA", at positions 524 to 776 of the family's 1533-position model. The record is from RNAcentral.
UACAGAGGGUGCGAGCGUUAAUCGGAAUUACUGGGCGUAAAGCGCGCGUAGGCGGUUUGUUAAGUCGGAUGUGAGAUCCCCGGGCUCAACCUGGGCACUGCAUCCGAUACUGGCUGACUAGAGUACGGGAGAGGGAGGUAGAAUACCAGGUGUAGCGGUGAAAUGCGUAGAGAUCUGGUGGAAUACCGAUGGCGAAGGCAGCCUCCUGGCCUGAUACUGACGCUGAGGUGCGAAAGCAUGGGGAGCGAACAGG